This 254-nucleotide ribosomal RNA is filed under the name Botryosphaeria dothidea. Its description in RNAcentral is "partial 28S ribosomal RNA". It matches the Rfam family "Eukaryotic large subunit ribosomal RNA", at positions 384 to 655 of the family's 3401-position model. Lineage: Eukaryota; Fungi; Ascomycota; Dothideomycetes; Botryosphaeriales; Botryosphaeriaceae. The record is from RNAcentral.
AGAGUUAAAAAGUACGUGAAAUUGUUGAAAGGGAAGCGCUUGCAGCCAGACUUGUCCGCAGUUGCUCAGCCGGUCUCCUGACCGGUGUACUCUUCUGCGGCCAGGCCAGCAUCAGUUCGGGCGGUCGGAUAAAGACCUCGGGAAUGUAGCUCCUCUCGGGGAGUGUUAUAGCCCGGGGUGGAAUGCGGCCAGCCUGGACUGAGGAUCUCGCUUCGGCUAGGAUGCUGGCGUAAUGGCUGUAAGCGGCCCGUCUU